AAGAACGGGUUACGAUUUCUCUCGUAACCCGCCUCAUUAUUCAAACAAUCAUAGGUAUCCUAACUUUUGGAAUAUACGAUAAGACAAGG
Molecule: small RNA, 89 nt
Filed under: Paenibacillus sp. P22
Lineage: Bacteria; Bacillati; Bacillota; Bacilli; Caryophanales; Paenibacillaceae
Description: Termite-leu RNA
Source: RNAcentral